This 368-nucleotide ribosomal RNA is filed under the name uncultured bacterium. RNAcentral's name for it is "bacterial SSU rRNA". It matches the Rfam family "Bacterial small subunit ribosomal RNA", at positions 527 to 896 of the family's 1533-position model. The record is from RNAcentral.
GUAGGAGGCGAGCGUUAUCCGGAUUCACUGGGCGUAAAGCGCAUGUAGGCGGUUGCACAAGUCCGUUGUUAAAGCCCCUGGCUCAACUGGGGGAGGUCAAUGGAGACUGUGCGACUUGAGGGCAGUAGAGGCACGUGGAACUCCCGGUGUAGCGGUGGAAUGCGUAGAGAUCGGGAAGAACACCAGUGGCGAAGGCGACGUGCUGGGCUGCAACUGACGCUGAGAUGCGAAAGUGUGGGGAGCAAACGGGAUUAGAUACCCCGGUAGUCCACACUGUAAACGAUGAACCCUAGGUGUGGGGGGGAAUACCCUCCGUGCCGAAGCCAACGCGUUAAGGGUUCCGCCUGGGGACUAUGAGCGCAAGCUUA